CUUCCAGACUCCUACGGGAGGCAGCAGUGGGGAAUAUUGGGCAAUGGGCGCAAGCCUGACCCAGCAACGCCGCGUGAAGGAAGAAGGCUUUCGGGUUGUAAACUUCUUUUGACAGGGAAGAGCAGAAGACGGUACCUGUCGAAUAAGCCACGGCUAACUACGUGCCAGCAGCCGCGGUAAUACGUAGGUGGCAAGCGUUAUCCGGAUUUACUGGGUGUAAAGGGAGCGUAGACGGUUGUGCAAGUCAGAAGUGAAAGCCCGGGGCUCAACUCCGGGACUGCUUUUGAAACUGUGAAACUGGAGUGCAGGAGAGGUAAGCGGAAUUCCUGGUGUAGCGGUGAAAUGCGUAGAUAUCAGGAGGAACACCAGUGGCGAAGGCGGCUUACUGGACUGUAACUGACGUUGAGGCUCGAAAGCGUGGGGAGCAAACAGGAUUAGAUACCCGCGUAAC
Molecule: ribosomal RNA, 451 nt
Filed under: uncultured bacterium
Lineage: Bacteria
Description: bacterial SSU rRNA
Rfam family: Bacterial small subunit ribosomal RNA
Source: RNAcentral